RNAcentral lists this ribosomal RNA (119 nucleotides) under Pteropus alecto (black flying fox). The record is from RNAcentral. Lineage: Eukaryota; Metazoa; Chordata; Mammalia; Chiroptera; Pteropodidae.
GUCUACAGCCAUGGCACCCUGAACAAGCCCGAUCAUGUCUGAUUUCAGAAGCUAAGCAGGGUUGGGCCUGGUUAGUACUUGGAUGGGAGACCACCUAAGAAGACCAGGUACUGUAGGCA